CCAGAUAUUUCUAUUUUUCUCUUUCAAUAGUAAAUCACAAAGGUGACCGUUCCAAUUCCGGAAAAGAGAGAGAGGUGGAGUUUGGGAGGGGAUUGAAGAUAACAAAAUCUAGACUCGAUCCAAUAAACUUCAACAUCCAUCAAAGGUUAAAUAUUCAAACCUUAAAAUAACCCUUUUUAUUAGAGGCGACGAUGUUGCAGAAUCAAAACAGCAGGAUGAAAGGAUUGUUUUCUGUCUUUUUUCCCCUUCCUUUGUGUCAUCGUCUAUCAUUAAAACAUACUAAGUUCAAAAAUCCCCCAUUCAAACAAUUUUUUUCUACAUAAAAUCCACUCCAUACCCAAUUAAUUCCUCGCCAAAAGCCAAAACACCAUCAAAAAUACAAUCUUUAAAGCUUAAAAGGGCGUAACCUGCAUCGGGAGCGCAUCCAUGUCGGCCCUCAACGCAACAAAUGGAGCAUUCCCAGUGCCGACAAAUCCCACAACACCCGUGACGGCGAUCGGAUACUUAUAAGCGAUGCCCAUCGCUUCGAGCUCCCUCCUGAUGAGCUCGCUGGUCUUGAAUUCCUCAUACCCAAGCUCCGGAUUCUCGUGGAUCCUCCUCCUGAUGCCCACCAUCCAGUCCAAGAACUCCGAUUCCUUGGCCCUCUGGAGGAAUCCAGCGGGAUCGGGAGAGGAAGAACAAGUGAGCACCGAGCUCAGUAGAGAAACAAAGUGAACCAAAGCGACCCAUUUGGAGGAAGCCAUCCUCUCCUCCGACGCUUUCCUCUCUUGGAAGAGUCGAUGCCCUCUGAAGAGGGGAAGAAGAAGAAAU
Molecule: long non-coding RNA, 810 nt
Filed under: Elaeis guineensis (African oil palm)
Lineage: Eukaryota; Viridiplantae; Streptophyta; Magnoliopsida; Arecales; Arecaceae
Description: long non-coding RNA (EGUI_LNC015815)
Source: RNAcentral